Long non-coding RNA from Zalophus californianus (California sea lion), 351 nucleotides. RefSeq lists it as uncharacterized. The transcript has 3 exons. Lineage: Eukaryota; Metazoa; Chordata; Mammalia; Carnivora; Otariidae. The record is from RefSeq and is a predicted model, not a curated record.
CGGGGCCGAGGCCGCGGGGCGGAGCCAGAGACAGCGCCCACGGUGGCCGCCAUCUUGAAAGAGGGCAAAGACACUCCUGGCGUUCCCCGCCUCUCGGCUUGUUUCAAACGCCAGCGCCAUCUUGGAUCACGGAGUAUAAUCACUUCCUUGAGAGUAGAGGGUGUUUCUGACACAUCUUAGUAUCUUUCAGUGCCAGAAGAAUAGGGGCUUACCGUCAGGAUCAGGAUCACUUUGGGUAGUCUCCAGGUGGUGGCAUGGCAAGAAAGAGAAGGCUGCAGAGAUUGAACAAACAGCAUGCACUGUGGUAUCCUUUAUUUAAAAACUGUGAGCUAACUACAGUCGUAGUGUUCU